AUAGUACUCCCACCGUCCCAAAAUUCCUGUCUUAGAUAUGUCUAGAUUUGGAUGUAUCUAGUCAAGUUUUAGUAUUUAGAUACAUCCAUUUCUAAAACAAAGUUAAGACAAUAAUUUUGGGACGGAGGGGGUACAAA
RNAcentral lists this microRNA precursor (137 nucleotides) under Hordeum vulgare. RNAcentral describes it as "microRNA MIR1122". It matches the Rfam family "MIR1120/MIR1122 microRNA precursor family". Lineage: Eukaryota; Viridiplantae; Streptophyta; Magnoliopsida; Poales; Poaceae. The record is from RNAcentral.